RNAcentral lists this unclassified non-coding RNA (230 nucleotides) under uncultured fungus. Its description in RNAcentral is "sequence contains ITS1, 5.8S rRNA gene". The stretch from base 182 to 230 matches the Rfam family "5.8S ribosomal RNA", at positions 1 to 49 of the family's 154-position model. The record is from RNAcentral. Lineage: Eukaryota; Fungi.
UCUCCGUAGGUGAACCUGCGGAGGGAUCAUUACUGAGUGAGGGUCUCCGGGCCCGACCUCCAACCCCAUGUGAACCGAAACCUGUUGCUUCGGGGGCGACCCUGCCGUUCGCGGCGUGGGGCCCCCGGAGCCCAUCAAACCCUGCGUAACUAAGUCGUCGGAGUUUAAACAAAUUAAACAAAACUUUCAACAACGGAUCUCUUGGUUCGGGCAUCGAUGAAGAACGCAGC